AUUGAACGCUGGCGGCAUGCCUUACACAUGCAAGUCGAACGGCAGCACGGGAGCAAUCCUGGUGGCGAGUGGCGAACGGGUGAGUAAAGUAUCGGAACGUGCCCAGUCGUGGGGGAUAACGUAGCGAAAGUUACGCUAAUACCGCAUACGAUCUAUGGAUGAAAGCGGGGGAUCGCAAGACCUCGCGCGAUUGGAGCGGCCGAUAUCAGAUUAGGUAGUUGGUGGGGUAAAGGCUCACCAAGCCGACGAUCUGUAGCUGGUCUGAGAGGACGACCAGCCACACUGGGACUGAGACACGGCCCAGACUCCUACGGGAGGCAGCAGUGGGGAAUUUUGGACAAUGGGCGAAAGCCUGUUCCAGCCAUGCCGCGUUCAGGAUGAAGGCCUUCGGGUUGUAAACUGCUUUUGUACGGAACGAAAAGGUUUGGCCUAAUAAGCUGAGCUCAUGACGGUACCGUAAGAAUAAGCACCGGCUAACUACGUGCCAGCAGCCGCCGUAA
This 500-nucleotide ribosomal RNA is filed under the name uncultured bacterium. RNAcentral describes it as "partial 16S ribosomal RNA". It matches the Rfam family "Bacterial small subunit ribosomal RNA", at positions 30 to 523 of the family's 1533-position model. The record is from RNAcentral.